Molecule: ribosomal RNA, 265 nt
Filed under: uncultured bacterium
Lineage: Bacteria
Description: partial 16S ribosomal RNA
Rfam family: Bacterial small subunit ribosomal RNA
Source: RNAcentral
AUGGCGACCGGCGCACGGGUGAGUAACACGUAUCCAACCUGCCGAUGACUCGGGGAUAGCCUUUCGAAAGAAAGAUUAAUACCCGAUGGCAUAGUUCUUCCGCAUGGUAGAACUAUUAAAGAAUUUCGGUCAUCGAUGGGGAUGCGUCCCAUUAGCUUGUUGGCGGGGUAACGGCCCACCAAGGCAUCGAUGGAUAGGGGUUCUGAGAGGAAGGUCCCCCACAUUGGAACUGAGACACGGUCCAAACUCCUACGGAAGGCAGCAG